This 253-nucleotide ribosomal RNA is filed under the name uncultured bacterium. RNAcentral's name for it is "partial 16S ribosomal RNA". It matches the Rfam family "Bacterial small subunit ribosomal RNA", at positions 524 to 776 of the family's 1533-position model. The record is from RNAcentral.
UACGGAGGGUGCAAGCGUUGUCCGGAUUUAUUGGGUUUAAAGGGUGCGUAGGCGGCCCGUUAAGUCAGUGGUGAAAUCCCAGGGCUCAACCCUGGAACUGCCAUUGAUACUGACGGGCUUGAGUUCGGUUAAGGCGGGCGGAACUGGUGGUGUAGCGGUGAAAUGCAUGGAUACCACCAAGAACCCCGAUUGCGUAGGCAGCUCGCUGAGCCGAAACUGACGCUGAGGCACGAAAGCGUGGGGAGCGAACAGG